CCUACGGGAGGCAGCAGUGAGGAAUAUUGGUCAAUGGGCGCGAGCCUGAACCAGCCAAGUCGCGUGAGGGAGUACGGCCCUACGGGUCGUAAACCUCUUUUGCCGGGGAGCAGUGCGCAGCUCGUGAGCUGGGAGUGAGAGUACCCGGAGAAAAAGCAUCGGCUAACUCCGUGCCAGCAGCCGCGGUAAUACGGAGGAUGCGAGCGUUAUCCGGAUUUAUUGGGUUUAAAGGGUGCGUAGGCGGGCCGUUAGGCCGGCGGUAAAAUUGCGGGGCUCAACCCCUCCGCGCCGUUGAAACCGGGGGUCUUGAGUACAGGAGAAGUACGCGGAAUGCGUGGUGUAGCGGUGAAAUGCAUAGAUAUCACGCAGAACCCCGAUUGCGAAGGCAGCGUACCGGCCGGUCACUGACGCUGAGGCACGAAAGCGUGGGGAUCGAACAGGAUUAGAUACCCGUGUAGUC
RNAcentral lists this ribosomal RNA (460 nucleotides) under uncultured bacterium. Its description in RNAcentral is "partial 16S ribosomal RNA". It matches the Rfam family "Bacterial small subunit ribosomal RNA", at positions 338 to 795 of the family's 1533-position model. The record is from RNAcentral.